Molecule: ribosomal RNA, 497 nt
Filed under: uncultured bacterium
Lineage: Bacteria
Description: partial 16S ribosomal RNA
Rfam family: Bacterial small subunit ribosomal RNA
Source: RNAcentral
GAUGAACGCUGGCGGCGUGCCUAAUACAUGCCAGUCGAGCGAACAGAUAAGGAGCUUGCUCCUUUGAAGUUAGCGGCGGACGGGUGAGUAACACGUGGGUAACCUACCUAUAAGACUGGGAUAACUUCGGGAAACCGGAGCUAAUACCGGAUAACAUUUAGAACCGCAUGGUUCUAAAGUGAAAGAUGGUUUUGCUAUCACUUAUAGAUGGACCCGCGCCGUAUUAGCUAGUUGGUAAGGUAACGGCUUACCAAGGCGACGAUACGUAGCCGACCUGAGAGGGUGAUCGGCCACACUGGAACUGAGACACGGUCCAGACUCUUACGGGAGGCAGCAGUAGGGAAUCUUCCGCAAUGGGCGAAAGCCUGACGGAGCAACGCCGCGUGAGUGAUGAAGGGGUUCGGCUCGUAAAACUCUGUUAUUAGGGAAGAACAAAUGUGUAAGUAACUGUGCACAUCUUGACGGUACCUAAUCAGAAAGCCACGGCUAACUACGUG